Oryctolagus cuniculus (rabbit) is the source of this 11123-nucleotide non-coding RNA. Lineage: Eukaryota; Metazoa; Chordata; Mammalia; Lagomorpha; Leporidae. The record is from RefSeq and is a predicted model, not a curated record.
GUGAACUGAAAUUGAUCACUUGGACUGGUGAGAUGGCAUUGGUACAUGCCACCUUGAUGGGAUUGAAUUGGAGUCCCCUGGUAUGUUUCUAACUCUACCAUUUGGGGCAAGUCAGCUUGAGCAUGUCCCAAAUUGUACAUCUCUUCCCUCUCUUAUUCCCACUCUUAUGUUUAACAGGGAUCACAUUUCAGUUAAUUUCAACACUUAAGAAUAACUGUGUAUUAAUUACAGAAUUAAACCAGUCAUAUUAAGUAGAGCAGACAAAAAACUACUAAGAGGGAUAAUGUAUUAAGUUGUUCAUUAACAGUCAGGGCUAUGCGGAUCAAGUGACCAUUUCUCAUAGUGUCCAUUUCACUUCAACAGGUUUCCUUUUUGGUGUUCAGUCAGUUGUCACCAAUCAGGGAGAACAUAUGGUAUGUGUCCCUUUGGGACUGGCUUAUUUCACUCAGCAUGAUGUGUUCCAGAUUCCUCCAUUUUGUUGCAAAUGACUGGAUUUCAUUGUUUCUUAUUGCGGUAUAGUAUUCUAAAGAGUACAUAUCCCAUCAUUUCUUUAUCCAGUCUACCAUUGAUGGGCAUUUAGGUUGGUUCCAGGUCUUGGCUAUUGUGAAUUGAGCUGCAAUAAACAUUAGGGUGCAGACCACUUUUUUGUUUGCCAAUUUAAAUUCCUUUGGGUAAAUUCCAAGGAGUGGGAUGGCUGGGUCGAACGGUAGGGUUAUAUUCAGGUUUCUGAGGAAUCUCCAGACUGACUUCCAUAGUGGCUUGACCAGUUUGCAUUCCCACCAACAGUGGGUUAGUGUCCCUUUUUCCCCACAUCCUCGCCAGCAUCUGUUGUUGGUAGAUUUCUGUAUGUGAGCCAUUCUAACCGGGGUGAGGUGAAACCUCAUUGUGGUUUUGAUUUGCAUUUCCCUGAUUGCUAAUGACCUUGAACAUUUUUUCAUGUGCCUGUUGGCCAUGUGGCCAUUGGUAUUUCCUCCUUUGCAAAAUGUCUAUUGAGGUCCUUGGCCCAUCUCUUAAGUGGGUUGUUGGUUUUGUUUUUGUGGAGUUUCUUGAUCUCUUUGUAGAUUCUCGUUAUUAAGCCUUUAUCUGUUGCAUAGUUUGCAAAUAUUUUUCCCAUUCUGUCGGUUGCCUCUUCACUCUCCUGACUGUUUCUUUUGCAGUACAGAAACUUCUCAAUUUAUGCAAUCCCACAUGUUUAUUUUGGCUUUGACUGACUGUGCUUCCAGGGUCUUUUCCAAGCAUCUUCGGUCUUUGCCUGUUUCUAUAUCUCGGAGGUUUUCUCCAAUGUUCUCUAAUAAUUUGAUGGUGUUGGGUCAUAGAUUUAGGUCUGUCUUUAAUCCAUUUUGUGUGUAUUUUUGUGUAAGGUGAAAGGUACGGGUCUUGCUUCAUGCUUCUGCACAUGAAUGCAGCGUUUCUAGAUCCUUGAGAUGCAUUGAAAGCUCAUUUAUUUGGUGCCUUUCCAUUUUCUAGAUGUAGGCACCUAUUGCUAUAAACUUUCCUCUUAACACUGCUUUUGCUGUAUCCCAUACGUUUUGAUAUGUUGUGUUGUUAUCCUCAUUUACUGCCAGAAAUUAUUUGAUUUCUUUUUUGAUUUCUUCUAUGACCCAGUGUUCAUUCAGGAGCAUGUUUUUCAAUCUCCAUGUGGUUGCAUAUGCUCUAGGGAUUCUUGAAUUGCUAAUUUCCAACUUCAUUCCACUGUGGUCUGAGAACUGCAUCAUAUGAUUGUAAUUCUUUUGUAUUUACUGAUACUUGCUUUAUGGCCUAGUAUGUGGUCAGUUCUAGAGUAGGUUCCAGGUACUGCUGAGAAGAAUGUCAAUUCUUUAAGUGUAGGAUGAAAAGUUCUGUAGAUAUCUGUUAGAUCCAUUUGGGCUAUAGUGUUGUUUAAAUCUACUGUUUCCUUGUUGAUCUUCUGUCUGGUUGAUCUGUCUGUUUCUGAGAGUGGAGUAUUGAAGUCCCCCAGUACUAUUGUAUUGGAGUCUAAGUCUCCCUUGAAGUCCCUUAACAUAUCUUUUAAAUAAACCAGUGCCCUGUAGUUAGGUGCAUAUACAUUUAUAAUAGUUACAUCUUCCUGUUGAAUUGAUCCCUUAAGCAUUAUAUAGUGCCCCUCUUUGUCUCUCUUAACAGUUUUUCUGUUACAGUUUAUGUUGUCUGAUAUUAUGAUGGCUAUGCCCACUCUUUUUUCAUUUCUAUUGGCAUGGAAUAUCUUUUUCCAGCCUUUCACUUUCAGUCUGCCUGCAUGUUUGUUGGAAAGAUGUGCUUCUUGUAAGCAGCAAAUAGAUGGGUUUUGUUCCUUAACCCAUUCAGCCAAUCUGUGUCUUCUAACUGGAGAGUUGAGGCAAUUAACGUUCAAUGUGACUAUUGAUAAGUAGUAACUUUGCCCUGCCAUUUUCCCAAAGAUAUUUUCUAAUAUAUGCUUUGAACUUCGUGUGAUCUUUUACUCUGGUUUUCUUCCUUCUUUCAUAUUGAUGACUGCGAUUCUGAGUUUCUGUGUGUAAUACAUCUUUAAGUAACUUUUGUAGGGCUGGAACAGUGGCGACCAAUUCUUUCAAUUUCUGUUUGCUAUGAAAAGUCUUUAUUUCACCUUCAUUCACAAAUGAGAGCUUUGCAGGAUAUAAUAUUCUGGGCUGGCAGUUGUUCUCUCUUAGUACUAGGGCUAUGUCUCGCCAUUCCCUCCUAGCCUGUAGUGUUUCUGAUGAGAAGUCUGCUGUGAGUCUGAUUGGAGAUCCUCUGAGAGUAAUCUGAUACUACCCUAUUGCACAUUUUAAAAUCUUUUCUUUAUGUUUCACUGUGGUGAGUUUAAUUACGUGUCGUGGUGAGGAUCUCUUUUGGUCAUGUUUUCUAGGGGUUCUAUGAGCUUCCUGUACUAAGAUGUCUCUGUCCUUCUCCAAACCCAGGAAGUUCUCUGCUAGUAUCUCAAUAAAAAGGCCUUCUAAUGCUUUCUCUCUUUCCAUGCCUUCAGGAACUCCUAGAACUCAAAUGUUGGGUUUUAUUUAAUAGUACCCUGUAGAUUCCCAACAAUAUUUUUUAGAUUUCUAAUUUCCUCUUCUUUUCUUUGGUUUGGCUGUAUGUUUUCCUGUGCUCUGUCUUCUAAGUCCGAUAUUCCCUCUUCUGCAUCACUGACUCUGUUUUUAAGGCUCUCUAAUGUGUUUUUCAUUUGAUCUAUUGAAUUCUUCAUUUCAUUUCAAUUUCUCUUCACUAUCACAAUUUCCUGUUCUACUAGUUCUUGCAUUUCAUUUCGAUUCCUGCUUAAGAUUUCCUUUUCACAAGAGAGAUUUUCUAUCCUGUCCGGUAAGGAUUUCUGCAGUUCAAGACUUUGUUUUUGAAAACUUCUACAUGUUCUUAUCAUAAUUUUUUUGAAAUCCAUAUCUUGCAUUUCUUCUAUCUCAUCAUCUUCAUAAUCUUGUAUUGGGGUGUCUUGUUCAUUUGGGGGUGUCAUAAUGUCUUCCUUGUUGUUGUUUCCUUGGUUUCUGCAUUUGUUGCUUGGCUUUGUGGAGAUAUUCAUUGGUUUCUUCUUUCCUCGCUGUGGAAUUUUUUUCUCAUUCUACUAUGACUCUAUUAAAUGGACUGUCUGCUAUUUGAUGGAUCCUUAGAGGCUUCUGAUGGGUGUGGCCAGAGAGCUCUGUUUGGUUCUUCAGGGUUAAGGGUGUGUCAAAUGUGACACACCCAGGUUAGGCAUAAUACAUCUCUCUCUCUCUCUCUCUCUCUCUGAUUCAGAAGGGAAGUAAUUCUACACAGCUUCCUUUUCAGUACAGGUGCAUAGAUUCUAUGGCUAGGGUUCUGAGCCAUGGGCACCGGUGCCCUCCACAUAGGUCCCCAUGAACCAGUAGUUCCAGAAGAGUUUCCUCUGCUGUUUCUUCCCUAACUCUUCCUUGAACCUGCAGUAUCUCCACUUUUAUUAAACUGUCUUUUCCCAGACUAUCGAUGUGCUCCCUUCCUAUUCUGCCAUCUUGCCCUCCUCCCAUUUCUGGCUUCUGUACCUCUGCUUGCUUGAUAAUGGCCAAGGCCACCAGACUAUGGUUUCUCCUGUCUUGUCCUGGAUGCAACCACAAGAUCACACAGGUGGCACCAAGGUCAAUGGCACCAUGUUUGACCCUGACUUGGAACAAUCAAAUAAUUAAAUCAUUACAUUUUUCAAUAAGGUUACAAAGAAACUGGCUGAUUGGCUAAGUGCUUCUCCCUUCUGUAUGUCUGAGUCUUGCUUGCACAAUUCUGCACAUGUAAUUAAAUGACUGAUAAAAAGUAGGUUUUGCCUUUACAAACUCUCUGCACCUGCAACUCUCUGCUGGCUUCUCGAGACUUGCUCUGAGAGGGCAGUCACCAGCUGGACACUAAAUAUUCCUAAUUUGACCUCAAAAGUCUCACUGUGUUUUUAAUCUCUACACCCCAAAACUAAAGAAGCUCAGGUAUGGAUGUGGUUGUAGCUGUAGCUCUCCAGGGCCUGAUGUCACAAAGGGAAUGAAGUGCCCCUGGCACCAAGUGACACUUUCUUGGGGCUGGGAAUCCACACACAUCCCUGGUCACUAUCAGUUUAUGUUGGCUUUGGGCAAGCUGAUGGAGAUCCACUCAGCAUCUCCAAUAGCCAGGAAUACGAAGAACAGCAACAAAAAGACAACUCAUUUGCCCCUCAACAGCCUUUUGUUCAUUUGUUCCAGGACCACACCCAUAGCACCAGCAGUAACCAAAACACACAGGCGAAUGUGGAUGUGGAAGGAAGAAGACUCUGAUGGCACAGGCAGAGGCUGGGAAGUUUCAACUGCAAAGCAACAACCCAAGGGUGGAGGCAAGCGCCAGAAACUAGAAACAGGCCGUGGAGGACCGUACGCUGGAGCCUUCAGAUAGAGCAGGGAGCAGCAGGCCUCUGACAUCAGGCCCUGCCCUCCAGAACUGUGAGCAACCUUCCUGCUUUAAAGCCAGGCACAUGGCAGUAAGGAGCUAUGGUGACUCGAGGAAGCUGGUACAGGCCCCUGCAGGGGGUUCUCAGUUGUUCUUUUGAAUUCCAGAAACUUGAGUCACUCCUCUCAUAAGAUAUGUUCCCUUACUGUUAUUUCCUAUCCUGUGAAAUACUUCUGUUGAUGUUUGUAGUGCUUAACACAUAGAUUCCUUCACUAAUUUGAGUAUAGUGUGAACGCCGAGUGCUCUGGGCCUAGUGAGUUCCAUGUCUGUACUUCCUCAGAGGUAGUGUCAGCUGGCUGCAGUUUUUCUUGGUGAUUCUGCUUGUGUUGGGAGAUCCUGAUCCUGAGCACUCCCAGGGUCAGUGCUUCCUGUGGAGGAGGCCCCCCUGGACUCAGAACAAGUUGUGACAACAAGAGUGACAUUUGCCAGACAAGGUCCCAGAGUCUGAUUGCCUAGGGUGUUCAUUGGUGCCUUCUUCCCAGUACAUGGGUAGAUUCUAGUACCCCAGGAGGAGCAAGAGGUUUGUGUAUGUGAGAAGUCCAGCACCUCGAGCCUCUCUCAUUAGAGAAGGGUGCACCUGUGCAUUUCUAGAUUCCCAGGAGUGUGCCAGAGCUUCCUGAGUCCCCUACAGACAAUCAUGACUUAGCUCUGCUGCAAUAUUGUUGGGUUAGUUUGUCCUUUAUCUAAGGGAGUUGUCAACUACUAAGAGUAUCCACAAAGUUAAGCAGUGGCUGUGAUAGUUUUGAGAGUUUUGCUGGGGACCAUUGUUUUUUUUUUUAACUUUUAUUUAAUGAAUAUGAAUUUCCAAAGUACGACUUAUGGAUUACAAUGGCUUCCCCCUCAUACCGUCCCUCCCACCCACAACCCUCCCCCCUCCCACUCCCUCUCCCCUUCCAUUCACAUCAAGAUCCAUUUUCAAUUAUCUUAACAUAGAGAAGAUCAGCAUAGCACACAUUAAGUAAGGAUUUCAACAGUUUGCUCCCACACAGAAACAUAAAGUGAAAAAUAAUAGAUGAUUUUUUUAAAUGAUGAUGAAAUCAGAUCAGACCUAUUGUCAUGUUUAAUCCCAGUGAGAGUCAAGUUGGGAAUUGAUAUUUUUUUUUUUUACAGAAGAUCAGUUUAGUAUGCAUGAAGUAAAGAUUUCAACAGUCUGCACCCCAUAGAAACACAAAGUGAAAUAUAUUGUUUGAGUACUCGUUAUAGCAUUAAAUCUCAAUGUACAGCACAUUAAGGACAGAGAUCCUACAUGAGGAGUAAGUGCACCGUGACUCCUGUAGUUGACUUUACAAAUUGACACUCCUGUCUAUGGCAUCAGUAAUCUCCCUAUGCUCCAGUCAUGAGUUUCCAAGGCUAUGGAAGCCCUCUGAGUUCUCCGACUCUUAUCUUGUUUAGACAAGGUCAUAAUCAAAGUGGAGGUUCUCUCCUCCCUUCAGAGGAAGGUACCUCCUUCUUUGAAGACCUGUUGUUUCCACUGGGAUCUCACUCACAGAGAUCUUUUUGUCAGUGUCUUGGCUUUCCAUGCCUGAAAUACUCUCAUGGGCUUUUCAGCCAGAUCGGAAUGCCUUUAGGGCUGAUUCUGAGGCCAGAGUGCUAUUUAGGACAUCUGCCAUUCUAUGAGUCUGCUGAGUAUCUCACUUCCCAUGUUGGAUCACUCUCCCCUUUAUUUAUUCUAUUGGUUAUUGUUAGCAGGCACUAGACUUGUUUAUGUGAUCCCUUUGACUCUUAGUCCUUUCAUUAUGAUCAAUUGUGAACUGAAAUUGAUCACUUGGAAUAGUGAGAUGGCAUUGGUACAUGCCACCUUGAUGGGAUUGAAUUGGAGUCCCCUGGUAUGUUUCUAACUCUACCAUUUGGGGCAAGUCAGCUUGAGCAUGUCCCAAAUUAUACCUCUCUUCCCUCUCUUAUUCCCACUAUUAUGUUUAACAGGGAUCACAUUUCAGUUAAUUUUCAACACUUAACAAUAACUGUGUGAUAAUUACAGAAUUAAACCAGUCAUAUUAAGUAGAACAGACAAAAAAACUACUAAGAGGGAUAAUGUAUUAAGUUGUUCAUUAACAGUCAGGGCUAUGCUGAUCAAGUCACCAUUUCUCAUAGUGUCUAUUUCACUUCAACAGGUUUCCUUUUUGGUGUUCAGUCAGUUGUCACCGAUCAGGGAGAACAUAUGGUAUUUGUCCCUUUGGGACUGGCUUACUUCACUCAGCAUGAUGUGUUCCAGAUUCCUCCAUUUUGUUGCAAAUGACUGGAUUUCAUUGUUUCUUACUGCGGUAUAGUAUUCUAAAGAGUACAUAUCCCAUAAUUUCUUUAUCCAGUCUACCGUUGAUGGGCAUUUAGGUUGGUUCCAGGUCUUGGCUAUUGUGAAUUGUGCUGCAAUAAACAUUAGGGUGCAGACCGCUUUUUUGUUUGCCAAUUUAAUUUCCUUUGGGUAAAUUCCAAGGAGUGGUAUGGCUGCGUCGAACGGUAGGGUUAUCUUCAGGUUUCUGAGGAAUCUCCAGACUGACUUCCAUAGUGGCUUGACCAGUUUGCAUUCCCACCAACAGUGGGUUAGUGUCCCUUUUUCCCCACAUCCUCGCCAGCAUCUGUUGUUGGUAGAUUUCUGAAUGUGAGCCAUUCUAACCGGGGUGAGGUGAAACCUCAUUGUGGUUUUGAUUUGCAUUUCCCUGAUUGCUAAUGACCUUGAGCAUUUUUUCAUGUGUCUGUUGGCCAUUUGGAUUUCCUCUUUCGAAAAAUGUCUAUUGAUGUCUUUGGCCCAUCUCUUAAGUGGGUUGUUGGUUUUGUUUUUGUGGGGUUUCUUGAUCUCUUUGUAGAUUCUGGUUAUUAACCCUUUAUCUAUUGCAUAGUUUGCAAAUAUUUUUUCCCAUUCUGUCGGUUGUCUCUUCACUCUCCUGACUGUUUCUUUUGCAGUACAGAAACUUCUCAACUUGAUGCAAUCCCAAUAGUUGAUUUUGGCUUUGACUGCCUGUGCCUCCUGGGUCUUUUCCAGAAAUUCUUUGCCUGUGCCAAUAUCUUGAAGGGUUUCUCCAAUGUUCUCUAAUAACUUAAUCGUGUCAGGACGUAGAUUUAGGUCUUUAAUCCACGUUGAGUGGAUUUUUGUGUAAGGUGUAAGGUAGGGGUCUUGCUUCAUGCUUCUGCAUGUGGAAAUCCAGUUUUCCCAGCACCAUUUAUUGAAUAGACUGUCUUUGCUCCAGGAAUUGGUUUUAGAACCUUGGUCAAAUAUAAGUUGGCUGUAGCUGUUUGGGUUGAUUUCUGGUGUUUCAAUUCUGUUCCAUUGGUCUAUCCAUCUGUUUCUGUACCAAUACCAUGCUGUUUUGAUUACAACUGCCCUGUAGUAUGUCCUGAAAUCUGGUAUUGUGAUGCCUCUGGCUUUGUUUUUGUUGUACAAGAUUGCUUUAGCUAUUCGAGGUCUCUUGUGCCUCCAUAUGAUUUUCAGCAUCAUUUUUUCUAGAUCUGUGAAGAAUGUCUUUGGUAUCCUGAUUGGGAUUGCAUUGAAUCUAUAAAUUGCUUUUGGGAGAAUGGACAUUUUGAUGAUGUUGAUUCUUCCAAUCCAUGAGCAUGGAAGAUUUUUCCAUUUCUUGGUAUCCUCUUCUAUUUCUUUCUUUAGGAUUUUGUAAUUCUCAUCGUAGAGAUCUUUAACGUCCUUGGUUAAGUUUAUUCCAAGGUAUGUGAUUGUUUUUGUAGCUAUUGUGAAUGGGAUUGAUCUUAGCAGUUCUUUCUCAGUCAUGGCAUUGCUUGUGUAUACAAAGGCUGUUGAUUUUUGUGCAUUGAUUUUAUAUCCUGCCACUUUGCCAAACUCCUCUAUGAGUUCCAAUAGUCUCUUAGUAAAGUUCUUUGGAUCCCCUAAGUAAAGAAUCAUAUCGUCUGCAAAGAGGGAUUGCUUGACUUCUUCCUUCUCAAUUUGUAUUCCUUUGAUUUCUUUUUCUUGUCUGAUGGCUCUGGCUAAAACUUCCAGAACUAUGUUCAAUAGAAGUGGUGAGAGUGGGCAUCCCUGUCUGGUGCCAGAUCUCAGUGGAAAUGCUUCCAACUUUUCCCCAUUCAAUAGGAUGCUGGCUGUGGGCUUUUCACAAAUUGCUUUGAUUAUAUUGAGGAAUGUUCCUUCUAUUCCCAAUUUGCUUAGAGUUUUCAUCAUGAAAGGGUGUUGAAUUUUAUCAAAUGCUUUCUCUGCAUCAAUUGAGAUAAUCAUAUGGUUUUUCUUCUGCAGUCUGUUAAUGUGGUGAAUCACAUUGAUUGAUUUGCAAAUGUUGAACCAUCCCUGCAUACCAGGGAUAAAUCCCACUUGGUCUGGGUGGAUGAUUUUCCUGAUGUGUUGUUGUACUCUAUUUGCCAGAAUUUUAUUGAGGAUUUUUGCGUCUAUGUUCAUCAGGGAUAUUGGUCUAUAAUUUUCUUUCAGUGCUGCAUCUUUCUCUGGCUUAGGGAUUAAGGUGAUGCUGGCUUCAUAGAAAGAAUUUGGGAGGAUUCCCUCUUUUUCGAUUGUUCUGAAUAGUUUGAGAAGAAAUGGAAUCAGUUCUUCUUUAAAUGUCUGGUAGAAUUCAGCAGUGAAUCCAUCCGGUCCUGGGCUUUUCUUUGUUGGGAGGACCUUAAUUACUGUUUCAAUUUCUCUUUCAGUUAUGGGUCUAUUUAGGUUUUCUAUGUCUUCAUGGUUCAAUUUAGGUAGAUUGCAUGUGUCCAGGAAUCUAUCCAUUUCUGAUAGAUUUUCUUGUUUGCUGGCAUACAAAUCCUUGUAGUAAUUUCUGAUGAUUCUUUUUAUUUCUGUGGUGUCUGUUGUUAUGUUUCCUUUUUCAUCUCUGAUUUUAUUGAUUUGGGUCUUUUCUCUUCUUUUUUUAGUUAGUUGGGCCAAUGGGGUAUCCAUUUUGUUUAUUUUUUCCGAAAACCAGAUCUUCGUUUGGAUGAUUUUUUGUAAUGUUUUUUUUGGAUUCAAUCCUGUUAAUUUCUUCUCUGAUUUUAAUUAUUUCUCUUCUCCUACUAGGUUUGGGUCUGGUUUGCUGCAAAUUUUCUAGGUCCUUGAGAUGCGCUGAAAGCUCAUUCAUUUGGCGCCUUUCCAAUUUCUUGAUAUAGGCACCUGUUGCUAUAAACUUGCCUCUCAAUACUGCUUUUGCUGUAUCCCAUAAGUUUUGAUAUGUUGUGUUGUUAUCCUCAUUUACUUCCAGAAAGUUUCUGAUUUCUCUUUUGAUUUCUUGAAUGACCCAGUGUUCAUUCAGGAGCAUGUUGUUCAGUCUCCAUGUGUUUGCAUACUUUCUGGGGUUUCCUGAGUUGCUAAUUUCCAGCUUCAUUCCACUGUGAUCCGAGAAGCUGCAUGGUAUGAUUCUAAUUCUUUUAAAUUUGCUGAGACUUGCUUUAUGGCCUAGUAUGUGAUCAAUCCUAGAGAAGGUUCCAUGCGCUGUUGAGAAGAAUGUAAAGUCUUUAGAUGCAGGAUUGAAAGUUCUGUAGAUAUCUGUUAGAUCCAUUUGCGCAAUAGUGUCGAUUAAAUCUGCUGUUUCCUUGUUGAUCUUCUGUCUGGAUGAUCUAUCUAUUUCUGAGAGUGGAGUAUUCAAGUCCCCCAGUACUAUUGUAUUGGAAUCUAAGUCUCCCUUUAAGUCCCUUAACAUAUCUUUUAAAUAGACCGGUGCCCUGUAAUUAGGUGCAUAUACAUUUAUAAUAGUUACAUCUUCCUGUUGAAUUGAACCCUUAAUCAUUAUAUAGUGCCCCUCUUUGUCUCUCUUAACAGUUUUUGUAUUAAAGUUUAUUUUGUCUGAUAUUAAUAUGGCUACACCUGCUUUUUUUUGGUUUCUGUUGGCAUGGAAUAUCUUUUUCCAACCUUUCACUUUCAGUCUGCCUGCAUCUUUGUUAGAGAGAUGUGUUUCUUGUAGGCAACAAAUAGUUGGGUGUUGUUCUUUAAGCCAGUCAGCCAGUCUGUGUCUUUUAACUGGACAGUUCAGGCCAUUCACGUUUGACUUUGCCCUGCCAUUUUCCUGGAGAUAUUUUCUAGUAUAUGCUUUGAGCUUCCCAUGCUCUUUUACUGGUAGGUGUUCUUCCUUUCCCUUCUUUCAUAUUGAUGGCCGUGUUUCUGUGUUUCUGAGUGUAGCACAUCUUUAAGUAUCUUUUGCAGGGCCGGACGAGUGGCCACAAGUCUUUCAAUUUCUGUUUGCUAUGAAAGGUCUUUAUUUCACCUUCAUUCACAAAUGAGAGCUUGGCAGGAUAUAAUAUUCUGGGCUGGCAAUUUUUCUCUCUUAGCACCUGUGCUAUGUCUCGCCAUUCCCUCCUAG